RNAcentral lists this ribosomal RNA (468 nucleotides) under uncultured bacterium. Its description in RNAcentral is "partial 16S ribosomal RNA". It matches the Rfam family "Bacterial small subunit ribosomal RNA", at positions 28 to 507 of the family's 1533-position model. The record is from RNAcentral.
GACGAACGCUGGCGGCGUGCUUAACACAUGCAAGUCGAACGGAAAGGCCCUGCUUUUGUGGGGGGCUCGAGUGGCGAACGGGUGAGUAACACGUGAGUAACCUGCCCUUGACUUUGGGAUAACUUCAGGAAACUGGGGCUAAUACCGGAUAGGAGCUCCUGCUGCAUGGUGGGGGUUGGAAAGUUUCGGCGGUUGGGGAUGGACUCGCGGCUUAUCAGCUUGUUGGUGGGGUAGUGGCUUACCAAGGCUUUGACGGGUAGCCGGCCUGAGAGGGUGACCGGCCACAUGGGGACUGGGGUAGGGCCCAGACUCCUACGGGAGGCAGCGGUGGAGAAUAUUGCACAAUGGGCGGAAGCCUGAUGCAGCAACGCCGCGUGCGGGAUGACGUCCUUCGGGUUGUAACCCGCUUUCGCCUGGGACGAAGCUUGAGUGACGGUAAUAGGUAAAGAAGCACCGGCUAACUACGUG